UAAUGUUUGAUGUUCUAACGUGGACCCGUAAUCCGGGUUGCGGACAGUGUCUGGUGGGUAGUUUGACUGGGGCGGUCUCCUCCUAAAGAGUAACGGAGGAGCACGAAGGUUGGCUAAUCCUGGUCGGACAUCAGGAGGUUAGUGCAAUGGCAUAAGCCAGCUUGACUGCGAGCGUGACGGCGCGAGCAGGUGCGAAAGCAGGUCAUAGUGAUCCGGUGGUUCUGAAUGGAAGGGCCAUCGCUCAACGGAUAAAAGGUACUCCGGGGAUAACAGGCUGAUACCGCCCAAGAGUUCAUAUCGACGGCGGUGUUUGGCACCUCGAUGUCGGCUCAUCACAUCCUGGGGCUGAAGUAGGUCCCAAGGGUAUGGCUGUUCGCCAUUUAAAGUGGUACGCGAGCUGGGUUUAGAACGUCGUGAGACAGUUCGGUCCCUAUCUGCCGUGGGCGCUGGAGAACUGAGGGGGGCUGCUCCUAGUACGAGAGGACCGGAGUGGACGCAUCACUGGUGUUCGGGUUGUCAUGCCAAUGGCACUGCCCGGUAGCUAAAUGCGGAAGAGAUAAGUGCUGAAAGCAUCUAAGCACGAAACUUGCCCCGAGAUGAGUUCUCCCUGAGACUUAGAGUCUCCUGAAGGAACGUUGAAGACGACGACGUUGAUAGGCCGGGUGUGUAAGCGCAGCGAUGCGUUGAGCUAACCGGUACUAAUGAACCGUGAGGCUUAACCUUACA
This 726-nucleotide ribosomal RNA is filed under the name Salmonella enterica subsp. enterica serovar Potsdam. RNAcentral's name for it is "partial 23S ribosomal RNA". It matches the Rfam family "Bacterial large subunit ribosomal RNA", at positions 2208 to 2925 of the family's 2925-position model. Lineage: Bacteria; Pseudomonadati; Pseudomonadota; Gammaproteobacteria; Enterobacterales; Enterobacteriaceae. The record is from RNAcentral. RNAcentral also lists the same sequence under 4 other names.